Lycium barbarum (goji berry) is the source of this 607-nucleotide long non-coding RNA. RefSeq lists it as uncharacterized. The transcript is spliced from 3 exons. The record is from RefSeq and is a predicted model, not a curated record. NCBI's taxonomy places the organism in Eukaryota, Viridiplantae, Streptophyta, Magnoliopsida, Solanales, Solanaceae.
UUGGGAAUUCUCCCUUAUAUAUGGUAGUAAUGUGGCUCCACAAGCCACUAAAAGGUGAAUACACUCAAAAAUUUCAUUCCAGAAUUUGGUACCUGUUACCCUAACAUAACCAUCAACCUUUCUUCAAGAAUUUCUGAAGACAUCUCCUUUUUAUUCACUAAUUUGGGAGGCAAAACGUGGGCAGCAACCAUCUCCUUGGAGAACCCAUUUUGAAGGGGUUUUUCUUAGCUUUGACGUUAAAUUUUGAAGCUCAAGCCAAGCACUUAUGUUGGAAAUGGUUCCAGAUUUCAACAAGAAUUGGAAGAGCUCUAGAGUGCAAGUGAAGGUUGUUCUCCGCCUACUGAGGUCUAGACGCUAGUCAAGCUAGGGGAUAGGAUUGACGCAGAGCAUAACGAGGUAGACAGGGAGGUGAUCUUGCUCCGGAUUCUUAAAGGCCGUUAGCUGACUGAAAGCACUCCAUUGUCCCGGAGGUGCCUACGAUGAUUAUUUUGUGUACAAUUGUAGAUAUCGUCUCUUAGAGGCUCGUAAAUACUCAAUGUGGGUCAUGUGGUUUCACGACGCGGAUUUUGUGUAAAUGUAUCUUUAUAUGUUGUUUUAUAAAAGCAUU